CAGCAGCCGCGGGAAUACGAAGGGUGCAAGCGUUACUCGGAAUUACUGGGCGUAAAGCGUGCGUAGGUGGUGGUUUAAGUCCGUUGUGAAAGCCCUGGGCACAACCUGGGAAUUGCAGUGGAUACUGGGUCACUAGAGUGUGGUAGAGGAUAGUGGAAUUUCCGGUGUAGCAGUGAAAUGCGUAGAGAUCGGAAGGAACAUCUGUGGCGAAGGCGACUAUCUGGGCCAACACUGACACUGAGGCACGAAAGCGUGGGGAGCAAACAGGAUUAGAUACCCCAGUAGUCCCUGUCUCUUAUAC
RNAcentral lists this ribosomal RNA (301 nucleotides) under uncultured bacterium. Its description in RNAcentral is "partial 16S ribosomal RNA". It matches the Rfam family "Bacterial small subunit ribosomal RNA", at positions 509 to 807 of the family's 1533-position model. The record is from RNAcentral.